AGCUUUGCGCAGUGGCAGUAUCGUAGCCAGUGAGGUUGAUCCGAGGCGUGAUUAUUGCUAAUUGAAAGAAUUAUUUAAUUUUAUUUAUUAUUAUUUUAAUUUGCCAUAGGGCA
This 113-nucleotide small nuclear RNA is filed under the name Tupaia belangeri chinensis (Chinese tree shrew). RNAcentral describes it as "Tupaia chinensis (Chinese tree shrew) U4 spliceosomal RNA". It matches the Rfam family "U4 spliceosomal RNA". Rfam says of the family: U4 small nuclear RNA (U4 snRNA) is a component of the major U2-dependent spliceosome. Lineage: Eukaryota; Metazoa; Chordata; Mammalia; Scandentia; Tupaiidae. The record is from Rfam by way of RNAcentral.